This 764-nucleotide long non-coding RNA is filed under the name Homo sapiens (human). Its description in RNAcentral is "non-protein coding lnc-CRYGN-3:2". Lineage: Eukaryota; Metazoa; Chordata; Mammalia; Primates; Hominidae. The record is from RNAcentral.
AGUCAGGGUUGCUGAGUGUCAGAUGUAUGCACAUGUGAAUGGAUUGCUAGGAAAAAACAGGAGUUCUUUGUGUUCAUUUUAUGUUAUGUUAAAAUGGUGAGUCUGUGACAUUUUACAUUUUUCCAGCUGGCAACAUAACAUACAUUUAAAAACUUCAACAUUAAAAUGGAUGUCUAAUUUAUACUUUUUGUUUUAUAGUUUUGAAGUGAUUAAAGUUAUCCAUGGCAAAUUGUUGGAUAUGGUGGGGAAAGUACAGUAAGUAGUACCAUUUUAUCUGCUUGUUAGAGAAACUUCUUUUAAUAGUAUCUUCUGAGCAAUACAAUCUGGCACUUACUGGUUUGUCUUUUUUUUCUUACAAAUAGAAUACCUAUUAUGUUGGUUGGGAAUAAGAAAGACCUGCAUAUGGAAAGGGUGAUCAGUUAUGAAGAAGGGAAAGCUUUGGCAGAAUCUUGGAAUGCAGCUUUUUUGGAAUCUUCUGCUAAAGAAAAUCAGGUAACAGAUUCUAUAAACCUCAUUUUGCAUUGCGUUCUCAUCAGUCGCAGGGAUGUGUUCCUUGCAGUUGGCAUUUGACCUCUGUCUUGAUCACUCCUGUGUAACAUCUGGCCUUCCUCCAUUUCUAAUACCAAGUUUUGUGUUGCUUUAGGAAGAUACUACUUAGGUGUUUAUAAAUUCAGUCAGUAUUCUACUUACAGUGGAACCUAGGAUAUUUGUAGGAUAAACAGAAACUAUUAGUAAAGGAAAUACUACCUUUUGUAAACAUAUAU